Molecule: transfer RNA, 46 nt
Filed under: Microtus ilaeus (Kazakhstan vole)
Lineage: Eukaryota; Metazoa; Chordata; Mammalia; Rodentia; Cricetidae
Description: partial tRNA-Asp
Source: RNAcentral
GAGAUAUUAGUAAAUAAAUUACAUAACUUUGUCAAAGUUAAAUUAU